Molecule: ribosomal RNA, 253 nt
Filed under: uncultured bacterium
Lineage: Bacteria
Description: partial 16S ribosomal RNA
Rfam family: Bacterial small subunit ribosomal RNA
Source: RNAcentral
GACGUAGGGCGCGAGCGUUGUCCGGAAUUAUUGGGCGUAAAGAGCUUGUAGGCGGUUUGUCGCGUCUGCUGUGAAAUUUCGGGGCUCAACCCCGAACUUGCAGUGGGUACGGGCAGACUAGAGUGUGGUAGGGGAGACUGGAAUUCCUGGUGUAGCGGUGAAAUGCGCAGAUAUCAGGAGGAACACCGGUGGCGAAGGCGGAUCUCUGGGCCAUUACUGACGCUGAGGAGCGAAAGCGUGGGGAGCGAACAGG